Molecule: ribosomal RNA, 348 nt
Filed under: Triticum aestivum (bread wheat)
Lineage: Eukaryota; Viridiplantae; Streptophyta; Magnoliopsida; Poales; Poaceae
Description: partial small subunit ribosomal RNA
Source: RNAcentral
AUGGCGCCGGAGCAAGGGUCGCGUGGCGCCAAGGCCGACGCGGCGGCCAUGGAGACGGCGGGCCGAGGAGGAGGAGGGCGGCCGUCGUCGGGGGCGGAGGCGGGGUGGGCGUGGUCGUGGGCGUGCUGCGCCGUGGCGGCGGGCGUGGCGGCGGUGGGGCUGGCGGGGGCCGGGGUGCUGGUGUGGUGGGCGGUGGCGUUCCACCCGGCGCGGGAGCAGCUCUGGAUGGUGCCCGUCGGCCUCGUCCUCCUCGGCACCCCGCUCGUCGCCUGGCUCUCCCUCUUCGCCUCCGGCGCGUGCCGCCGCCUCGGGACCAGCCACCACCACCCGCCUCCGGCCGAGCGAUGA